CACCAGAGGAACCGCCGCCGUCCGCCGAGUUUCAGGAAUUUGUUAGUCCACCCCUUGAAUAACCCCAUGUUGUAAUCAAGUGGGAACACCGUCGAUGGGAGUUAAUUCCACAGUUGCACGUGCGUCGAAAAAAGGAUCUGGCACAACGGGCGGACGAAGUGCACCAGACACCCAGCUGGUGAGAGUGAAAUUGCUUAGGGUGGUG
This is a long non-coding RNA of Maniola jurtina (meadow brown), 205 nucleotides long. RefSeq lists it as uncharacterized. Lineage: Eukaryota; Metazoa; Arthropoda; Insecta; Lepidoptera; Nymphalidae. The record is from RefSeq and is a predicted model, not a curated record. The transcript is spliced from 3 exons.